RNAcentral lists this long non-coding RNA (535 nucleotides) under Homo sapiens (human). RNAcentral describes it as "HSALNT0247867". Lineage: Eukaryota; Metazoa; Chordata; Mammalia; Primates; Hominidae. The record is from RNAcentral.
CUGUCUUACCCAGAAGAUGCUCAAGGAAGUUCACUCAUUAGGCGGUGGCUCAUUCUUAUUUUCCACACCUCUGAGUAGUUUGUAGACGUAAAGAUGUGGUCCCAAAUUUCAACCAAGUAGCCUCAAAGAUGAGAGUACGCAGUUAGACAUGAACAUACAUAUUCCAUGAACAUGGUUGAUUUUGCGGAUUGCUACCAAUAAAAAGUUCUAUCACAUUUACUUUUAAAAUUAGAUUUGAAGUUAAUUUCAUUUUGACAUGAUUUGAGAUGAUUUUAUGUAACAUCAUCUAAAAAGUUAAGAUUAGAGUGGAUUAAAAUAAACAGAACUGGGAAUACUUUAUUCACUCAGUCACUCACUCAAGUUUGUCUAAAUGGAUGUCCAGAUGAUCAAAAAGACGGCAUCUGUCCGUGUAGUCUAAAGUCACACAGACAUUCGUAUUUUCUGAAGAUCAAGAAUUACAAAUCCAUACGCUGUACAAAUUCCAUAGAGGUUAAACCUCACCUCGUAAAUAGGUGUUGACUUUUAAAACUGACAA